Molecule: ribosomal RNA, 496 nt
Filed under: uncultured bacterium
Lineage: Bacteria
Description: partial 16S ribosomal RNA
Rfam family: Bacterial small subunit ribosomal RNA
Source: RNAcentral
AUGAACGCUGGCGGCGUGCCUCAUACAUGCAAGUCGCGCGCACAGACGAGGAGCUUGCUCCUCUGACGUUAGCGGCGGACGGGUGAGUAACACGUGGAUAACCUACCUAUAAGACUGGGAUAACUUCGGGAAACCGGAGCUAAUACCGGAUAAUAUAUUGAACCGCAUGGUUCAAUAGUGAAAGACGGUUUUGCUGUCACUUAUAGAUGGAUCCGCGCCGCAUUAGCUAGUUGGUAAGGUAACGGCUUACCAAGGCAACGAUGCGUAGCCGACCUGAGAGGGUGGUCGGCCACACUGGAACUGAGACACGGUCCAGACUCCUACGGGAGGCAGCAGUAGGGAAUCUUCCGCAAUGGGCGAAAGCCUGACGGAGCAACGCCGCGUGAGUGAUGAAGGUCUUCGGAUCGUAAAACUCUGUUAUUAGGGAAGAACAAAUGUGUAAGUAACUAUGCACGUCUUGACGGUACCUAAUCAGAAAGCCACGGCUAACUACGUG